UGGCCAAAAAGUUUGCUUGGGUUUUUCAUGCCAAAACCCUAAUGAACUUUUUGGCCAACUCAAUAUUUUAGGG
RNAcentral lists this microRNA precursor (73 nucleotides) under Ovis aries (sheep). Its description in RNAcentral is "miRNA (ENSOARG00000023849.1)". The record is from RNAcentral. Lineage: Eukaryota; Metazoa; Chordata; Mammalia; Artiodactyla; Bovidae.